AGUAUGGUGCAGAUCUGUGUGUGUAUAGCACAACUGUGGUACGCUGAAAAGUUUCUCUGAAUGUACAUCUCAUCCACAUUUGAAGAGAUCAUGGAGGCAACAUAUGGUUCUAUCAGGCCAUGGCUUGUAACACUCACAGCUACAGUGAAAUAUGCAGUGCCCUUGGGCAGGAAAACUCCAACACUGCAACAGGAACAUUGCUAACUAGGGCCUCCAGCUCCUGGGUCUUCUUGAACAGCGCCUCCCGGUGGUGGAGCAGCAGAGAAUCUGUUUCCUACAUGAAAGACCAUCUGGGUCAUGCUCCGUUUGGAGUAGAAAACCAUGUCACAGAAGUUUUAUCAUGUUUCACAGUAGUGCUACAUAUACACAUUUGAUAUGGCAUAUUUAAUAUAAAAACAUUUUAAAAAGGUAUAACCUGAAAUACAAAUUAGUUAAAUUUUUACUAUAUACAUCAUUAACAUUGUACUAUAUUCAAAAACUGUCAUUUAUUCAAUUAUAUUUGUCACUGAGAUUUUGGUCGCUAGUGAUAUUAGGACUCAUCUUUCAUUGUAGUUCUGGUGAUUGCAUACUUGCUCAUUUUAUUUAGAAAUUUAUGGAACAUUUUAUUUCUCAGAUGGCACAUAACUUCUACAAGUCACUGAUUUUAUGUGCUGUAAGGGCUGGGUAAUUGAUUUUUUGUAAGAGUAAUUCCACAUUGUUGUGGGUUGGACCGGGGAAGCAGCAGCCAGAGCUGAGGAAUCUGGUAGACUAGGGAUUUAUUUAGCAAACAACAUGGACCAUGAGGCAAAGCAAAAGAUGCACGUUAAUGACCGAACUGGGGAAAACAUACCUAACACAGACUUAAAGACAUUGGAGUAAUCAACAACAAGAAGAAUCAGCUGGUAAACAUGGGGAUUCCACAUGAGGUAGCGAGGGGGCGUGGCACACAGGAGGAUCGGAUGAGCAGGGCAUGACACACAUAUCUUAUUAAUGGAAUUUGAAUAGUUUCACAAGAUUAUCAUACCUGCCAUAGGGCAGUCAUUUAAAAAUCUUACAUUUUAAAUCAGAAUGUCACUGGCAUUACUGAUGGUACAAUAUAACUAAUGUUAAUGUCAUGAAUGAUCAGAGUAAUUAAAAAGCUAAUUGAUAUGGAAGUUAGAUCUCUGUGUCAGUUCUGGCAUUUUGCAGGAUAAAUUGAUCCAUCACAGGUGUUACAAAGACAACAUAGUAAACGUUGAAACAGAAAUUUUCUUAUGUGCUCAUUUGGAAUUUGAUGCUUGCAACAUUGGUCCACGACAAUAAAAGACCGGAAAACCUGUGUAAUGCUAAAAUAAAAACUGAUGGAACAUGUCAGUACUAAUUAUGUUAAGUGGCAACAGGUCAUUAACAUGAUUUGGUAUAAAAAGGGCAAACCAGAGUUGCUGAGUCUAGCGAUGGGCAGAUGAAACCCCAAGAACAUGAGGCGUUGCUCUGAAUGUGUCGGGAAAAGCGUUGCUGUUUCGAUACAUUAAACAGCGACAUCUUGUGGAUUGAAAAUGUUAUAGCAGGCUGCCUAAAUUAAGAACGCCAUUUCAUUGAAU
Molecule: long non-coding RNA, 1559 nt
Organism: Brienomyrus brachyistius
Lineage: Eukaryota; Metazoa; Chordata; Actinopteri; Osteoglossiformes; Mormyridae
Exons: 3
Source: RefSeq, a predicted model, not a curated record